GCACUCCCGGGGCGUCUCUAUCUCAUUGCGAGAGGAGGCGCACCUAGAGCGUACACGCUGAUACCCGAAAGAUGGUGAACUAUGCCUGGCCAGGACGAAGCCAGGGGAAACCCUGGUGGAGGUCCGCAGCGAUUCUGACGUGCAAAUCGAUCGUCGGAGCUGGGUUUAGGGGCGAAAGACCAAUCGAACCAUCUAGUAGCUGGUUCCCUCUGAAGUUUCCCUCAGGAUAGCUUGCGCUCGGAAACAACGAGUCUCAUCCGGUAGAGCGAAUGAUUAGAGGCCUUGGGGUCGAAACGACCUCAACCUAUUCUCAAACUCCAAAUAGAUGAGAACCCCGGCUUUCUUGAACUCAAUUUCUAGUGAAGCCGGGGGCUCGGAUCAGAGUGCCAAGUGGGCCAAUUUUGGUAAGCAGAACUGGCGCUGUGGGAUGAACCAAACGCGGAGUUAAGGCGCCUCAAUCGACGCUCAUGUGAAACCAUGAAAGGCGUUGGUUGCUUAAGACAGCAG
Molecule: ribosomal RNA, 507 nt
Filed under: Pachylygus nigrescens
Lineage: Eukaryota; Metazoa; Arthropoda; Insecta; Hemiptera; Miridae
Description: partial large subunit ribosomal RNA
Rfam family: Eukaryotic large subunit ribosomal RNA
Source: RNAcentral